This is a long non-coding RNA of Bombus pyrosoma, 3656 nucleotides long. RefSeq lists it as uncharacterized. Lineage: Eukaryota; Metazoa; Arthropoda; Insecta; Hymenoptera; Apidae. The transcript has 3 exons. The record is from RefSeq and is a predicted model, not a curated record.
UCUGUACGCGUUUCGAAUCGUUGUACGUAGCUUGACCGGCGUAAUCACGCUUCCGGUGUUGCAUCGUGACACGGUCGUUGGUCUUACCACUUUGAGAAUCGUGUUCUCGAAAUGACAGACAGUCCUGGGAUUUUCGAUAACAGAUACCAGCAGCUACAACAAGUAUUCGCACAUAGUCCUAUUUUUCCAUCAGUUUCUUAUCAGAUUCCAAUUUUCCAGUCUCAUUUUUGGAAUAUUAACUUGUUAUAGACGUAUGAAUGUACUGUCAAAUUAAUACACCUGUACAGGGUUAAUAAUUUGUUCCGUGAGAAUAAAUUUAGACGCGAAAAUUGUUGACCGAAGAACGAAGAAAAGUUCUAUAGAAUCUUGUGGAACUUCGAACAACGAGAAGAGAAAUUAAGAAGAGAGAAUCAAGUUCGUGAAAUUUCACCGUCGUCAUAUGUAGAUCAUUCAAGUUGGGAGAUGGCUCUCAGGAAAUUUUAAGUUCCUACGAUGAGAUUGUUCCUACUAACUCGCCAGUAGUUUUUUAUAUGAUCAAGAUAAUAGCGAGAUGAUCCGUGUUUAAGUUCUGGAACAACUUCCACCUAAGAUAAACCAGUUUUGAAAGAAGAACAAAUAUCUCAUGAGAGCUGGUAAAUACACAGAGGAGAGGAGAAGCGUAAGAGAUUUUUCACUCGGAAAGUAUUCGAGUAAUCAACGAAAAAGCAUCUGUCGCGUGGAGGGUGGAAAUUCUAUUUGAGAAUAAUUGACAUUUCUGCUAGAGCGUGGCAAUAGCGACGCGAAGGAUGAAGUUUUGUACCUCGUCUCUCGCGCUAAGUGUUUCUGUUUGACGAUAUCGCGCGGAAAGUGCGAGCGUUAUAGCACUCGCAAAGUGCACGUCUCUGUCUUUGAAGUUUCACCGGGGUUGCAAUCUAAUAUUAAUGCACGCUCUAUAAUUAUUAAUCGACGAGACGUGCAACGAAGGAACAGAGCCCUCUGCAACUAGUUCGUAAUUACCGUGAGCGCGUUUCCCAAUUAAGUAAUCCAACGUAAUGUCGAUUAUUAUGAGAUUCGACUUUUCGCGCGGACAUAAUUGUCUUUCCGAGUAACCGUGGUAAUUUCGUCGUAAUUAAUUGCGGACCAUUUCAUUCGUUUACGCUAUCCCGUUGAAAUAAAUAAACUCGCGGAUGUAUAUAAUUUAUUUUUUUUGAAAUAUCGAACGCUAAUUAUACAUUUAAAUAAUGAGAAUUCUGUUGAAACAGAAAGCGGAAUCGAAAAAUGUUCACGAUAAUAACUUCUUUUAUAUUCAAUUCCAUGAUUAAACUACAAUUCUACCAAAGCUAAGCAAGUAAACUACCUAUCUAUCUACUGACUAACAAUGACCAUUUUUAAAUCUUAUUUACGAGCAAGAUAUUUAUCAUGUAGCGUAAAGUUGCACUCCGUAAAAUUCUAUUUAAAAUCCAAUUAUGCCUCCCCCGCAAAACUUUUAAUCGCAAGCUCUAAACGUUGUAUUUACUAGGCAUACGUUACUUGGCAAGCGUAAGUGGCGCUGAAAAAAAUUUCAAUUUCAAAUCGCACGCGAAGGAAACCGCUUACGACAAAGUUAAGGACGAACAAAGCGCCCACAAGCGCAUUACACAAGUUACUAUAGAAAGAUUCUCGUAGCUUACUCCUGUUACUUUCUUUAUGGUACUUCUGAAUUAUCCAGCCCUUGCAAUUUUAAUACACGAUACAUAUCAUACGCGUUACUUUCUGGAAAUUUUCUAAUCGUAAUAUUGGAAUAUGCAAAUCGUGCUUUCUGAGAAAAUUUUAAUUCUAUGAUACGAGAAUAUAUGAUUAACGUUUCACUUUAUCAAAAACCGAACGAUUAGAUACUCUCGAUGGAUUACAUUAAUUCCACUUCUACGAAGCUUAAUUACAGGCACGUACCUACAAUUACUUAUCAAACGAUCGGUAAUUAACAAUAAUUACGACUAUCUAUGCUUCUUCAUCCGUAUAAAUAUCCACCGACUAUGCUAAUAUACAACCGUCUAAUACAUUUCCUCUUAAAAAAGGAACAUGUCCCUUUAACGGAACAACUGUGUAUACGAUUCUAAUUGCUUUACAAAUUCCAAGCACAGCGAUCGCUGUGCUUGGAAAUGAGAAAAAUGCUGCUUAAUAAAUCUCAUAAGAAUAGCGUGACUCACGGUACACCAGGCGAAUCGUAUUCUUACUUCUAAACCAUUGGACACUUACCUGAAACAGAGAAAAUACAACGAGUUUAGUUAAAUAUCACAAAGGAAGGUUUAUCCGUGUACGAUCAAGUUAAUUGGCAAAUUGCGAAGAGGGUCUUGCAGACGACGGGAUUCGAGAUAAACGCGUUCAAACGGGGCAAAUAGAGAUAACCCUCGGCAAGGAGCGAUACGCGGAGACUUGUACGGCGACCCGAAAAUUGUGACGCUAUCGGGACAGAUAAUUCGCAAACAUAAUAGGACGAACACGGUCGCGCGUUGGUCAGACCCGUCGCAUGGAAAUUAGAUUCGUCCGCGCACGCGAACCCACACACAUGGUUUUCCAACCGUGCAGAAAAUCGAUAUCGACCUAUCGUAUAACAUACACGCGCGUACACACACACAUAAAAUAUUUCUCUUGCAUACUUUUCCUCUUUGGUGUUCCUGCUCCCUCGAUGCUUCUUAGCGAUGCUUUUGUGAAAUUGCGCUGCGAUCAUGUGAUUUGAAAUUACGUCAAACAUUGGUCGAAAGUCGGGAAACGAUCGACGAUCGAUUUUAUCAAUGAGGGAUCGUAUUUUACUUUGAUAUUUGUGAUUACUUAAGCCGUAUUACUGUAACAAUUGAACAUUUUUCUUUGUCUUUGAAGAUGUUCAACGCUAAUAAUCAGGCGUUACAAGUUGAUGAAAGAAUUUGGUCGCUCGUAGACAGUUUCUACGAAUAUAUUUUGAAACUUUAUCAGCUGUAUUAUGAGAGUCGGUUGUCAUGAUCAUGUUGUAUGACCAACUCCUUGUUCAUAUUGCGACACAUAUCGUAGACUCAUCCUGCAAUAAACACCGUAAUCUCUGCUUCUCGUUCCUGAAUCAUCCCGAAGUUCGAACCUUUCUUAUGGUCAUUGUCCUGAACAUAUUAAUCAUCCUCACCACUAGGCUAUGAGAACCACUUUUCCAUGACAGACCAGCAGAGAAUUCUACAAUCGGUGCUAGCGUGCAGUUACCCGUUACGAAUAAAACCUCUAACUUUCCAACGUGUGUUGUCAAAUUUCCACCAUCCGAGAUCCAACAAUCAGAUUGAUAAAGUUUGAGACAAAUCUAAAGAUAUUACAAAUAACGCAAUAACGUAAAUUCUUGGGGUAAAUCAGACGAUCAAUUUUGGAAAAUCGAGUUUAUUUUGGGAAUAAUUAAAUUAAAUAUAAUAGCAGUUAAUAAGAAAUCUACUAAAAAUUUUACGAUUUUCCAAGUCCUAAAUUACCGUUCUUCUCUCGUGAUCUAUUCUAAUCAACGAAUGACCGCCGGCAAAAGGAAACAAAAAUAAAAUAUGUCGAUUGGCGGGUAGUUUGAAUUCUACAAAAUUUACAUAUAUAUAUAGGAAUUACAAAAUAUUCGGUGCAUCGCGAAAGUAUUAAAAACAAUCAAUUAUUCGUCAUAUUAAUAAACUUCGAGAUUUUCAGCUGUGUUCUAUGGCUAUUUA